CAGAGCCGCGGGAACACGAAGGGUGCAAGCGUUAAUCGGAAUUACUGGGCGUAAAGCGUGCGUAGGCGGUUUGUUAAGUCUGCUGUGAAAUCCCCGGGCUCAACCUGGGAAUGGCAGUGGAUACUGGCAAGCUAGAGUGUGUCAGAGGAUGGUGGAAUUCCCGGUGUAGCGGUGAAAUGCGUAGAGAUCGGGAGGAACAUCAGUGGCGAAGGCGGCCCCCUGGACAAAGACUGACGCUCAGGUGCGAAAGCGUGGGGAGCAAACAGGAUUAGAGACCCCAGUAGUCCCUGUCUCUUAUACC
This 301-nucleotide ribosomal RNA is filed under the name uncultured bacterium. RNAcentral describes it as "partial 16S ribosomal RNA". It matches the Rfam family "Bacterial small subunit ribosomal RNA", at positions 509 to 808 of the family's 1533-position model. The record is from RNAcentral.